RNAcentral lists this RNase P RNA (354 nucleotides) under bovine gut metagenome. RNAcentral's name for it is "Bacterial RNase P class A". It matches the Rfam family "Bacterial RNase P class A". From Rfam's summary of the family: Ribonuclease P (RNase P) is a ubiquitous endoribonuclease, found in archaea, bacteria and eukarya as well as chloroplasts and mitochondria. Its best characterised activity is the generation of mature 5'-ends of tRNAs by cleaving the 5'-leader elements of precursor-tRNAs. The record is from RNAcentral.
CGGAUGAGGGCUGCGCCUUCAGAAGACGGCAGAGGAAAGUCCGGGCUUCACAGGGCAGGAUGCCGGUUAACGGCCGGCGGAGGCGACUCCCGGGACAGUGCAACAGAGAAGUACCGCUCAUACGCGGCCGAGAUCAUAUCAACGCAGCGUAAGCAAGGGUGAAAAGGUAGUGUAAGAGACUACCGGCUUCGCAGUAAUGUGAAGUGCUGUGUAAACCCCAUCCGAAGCAAGACCAAGACGAGGACCAUGGGCCGGCCCGGUCCGUUCUCAGGUAGGUCGCUCGAGGCCGUCGGUAACGGCGGUCCCAGAUAGAUGAUCGUCCAACGACAGAACCCGGCUUAUCGCUCUGCUUAU